UCCUAGGGCUGUAAAACUCAACUUCACUAGGGCCAGACUGGAAAAUGAGAAGCACAUCAAGAACCAGACAUGUAUAGUUUAUUAACAUGCUUUCAUUUAAGAAAAAGUGAAACAUCUCUG
This is a long non-coding RNA of Etheostoma spectabile (orangethroat darter), 120 nucleotides long. RefSeq lists it as uncharacterized. NCBI's taxonomy places the organism in Eukaryota, Metazoa, Chordata, Actinopteri, Perciformes, Percidae. The record is from RefSeq and is a predicted model, not a curated record. The transcript is spliced from 3 exons.